This 253-nucleotide ribosomal RNA is filed under the name uncultured bacterium. RNAcentral describes it as "partial 16S ribosomal RNA". It matches the Rfam family "Bacterial small subunit ribosomal RNA", at positions 524 to 776 of the family's 1533-position model. The record is from RNAcentral.
UACGGAGGGUGCAAGCGUCAUCCGGAUUCACUGGGUUUAAAGGGUGCGUAGGCGGGUAAGUAAGUCCGUGGUGAAAUCUCUGAGCUUAACUCAGAAACUGCCGUGGAUACUAUUUGCCUUGAAUAUUGUGGAGGUGAGCGGAAUAUGUCAUGUAGCGGUGAAAUGCUUAGAUAUGACAUAGAACACCAAUUGCGAAGGCAGCUCACUACACAAUCAUUGACGCUGAGGCACGAAAGCGUGGGGAUCAAACAGG